RNAcentral lists this ribosomal RNA (317 nucleotides) under Globorotaloides hexagonus. RNAcentral describes it as "SSU rRNA". It matches the Rfam family "Eukaryotic small subunit ribosomal RNA", at positions 1214 to 1409 of the family's 1831-position model. Lineage: Eukaryota; Foraminifera; Rotaliida; Globigerinidae. The record is from RNAcentral.
CUUACCGGGUCCGGACACACUGAGGAUUGACAGGCAAUAUGAAUAUAUUCCUUUUUGUGAAUUAUAUUUUGUUAAAUAUGCUAGUCCUUUCAUGAUUAUGUGAUAGGUGGUGCAUGGCCGUUCUUAGUUCGUGGAGUGAUCUGUCUGCUUAAUUGCGUUUCACUAAGGGCUCAUAAUUAAUUGUAUGUUUCGUUUGCACUCUUUGACCCCUCUUCACGGAGCGUGUGUCUUAGAAAUUGCAGCGUGCGUACUUUUGGGUCCUGAAAGCAACGAACGUGACCGCAACCUCUUGUUGCCUUUAUUACCAAACGCAAUCU